This is a long non-coding RNA of Octopus sinensis (East Asian common octopus), 197 nucleotides long. RefSeq lists it as uncharacterized. The record is from RefSeq and is a predicted model, not a curated record. The transcript is spliced from 3 exons. NCBI's taxonomy places the organism in Eukaryota, Metazoa, Mollusca, Cephalopoda, Octopoda, Octopodidae.
UGUGUAUGUGUGUGUAUAUAAAAUGAGAAAGAAAGUGUGUGUGUAUUUGUAUGUAUUUUAUCUGCCCUCCAACUAUUUCUAUAAAGAAUGAAUUAUAUUAAAAUAUCUGUUAUUUGCAUUCAUCUUAAACAGGCAUGCAUAUAUAUCUAUAUAUAAUAUAUAUAAUAAUAAUAAUUUGAGGGAAUAUUAUUCCAAAC